RNAcentral lists this ribosomal RNA (253 nucleotides) under uncultured bacterium. RNAcentral describes it as "partial 16S ribosomal RNA". It matches the Rfam family "Bacterial small subunit ribosomal RNA", at positions 524 to 776 of the family's 1533-position model. The record is from RNAcentral.
UACGAAGGGGGCUAGCGUUGCUCGGAAUCACUGGGCGUAAAGCGCACGUAGGCGGAUUGUUAAGUCAGGGGUGAAAUCCUGGAGCUCAACUCCAGAACUGCCUUUGAUACUGGCGAUCUUGAGUCCGGGAGAGGUGAGUGGAACUGCGAGUGUAGAGGUGAAAUUCGUAGAUAUUCGGAAGAACACCAGUGGCGAAGGCGGCUCACUGGCCCGGUACUGACGCUGAAAUACGAAAGCGUGGGGAGCAAACAGG